UGCUGACACAAAUACAGGCCCGUUGCCAG
RNAcentral lists this non-coding RNA (29 nucleotides) under Mus musculus (house mouse). Lineage: Eukaryota; Metazoa; Chordata; Mammalia; Rodentia; Muridae. The record is from RNAcentral.